This 113-nucleotide ribosomal RNA is filed under the name uncultured bacterium. RNAcentral describes it as "partial 16S ribosomal RNA". It matches the Rfam family "Bacterial small subunit ribosomal RNA", at positions 1087 to 1200 of the family's 1533-position model. The record is from RNAcentral.
CCGCAACGAGCGCAACCCUUGCCCUUAGUUGCCACCAUUUAGUUGGGCAUUUUAAGGGGACUCCCGGGUAUAAUCCGAGAGAAAGGGGGGGAAGACGUCAAGUCCUCAUGGCC